UGGCCUAUUCCCUACUCCUCAGGUCUUCUGCACACAGUCCAGGGGGUGAAAUGCACCAUUGCGGGCUCAGAGCUGGGGAGCCCCUCCAGGACCACCGGGUGCAAACCUCUCUGGUUACUGAUGAGGAAACUGAGCUCGAGAGUCUCUAAAGACCUCGUCUAAGGGAGCUGGUCAGCGGAGAGCACGGUGCUUUUGUACACAGCCAGGUGCCAGUCUUCUGGGACGCUCGUAAAAGGAGUUUGGGGAUCAGUGUGUGGUUUUGGGGGGCUCCCACCCACUCCCCGGUGCCUGUGGCUUUGCAGCCAGGACUUCAUGUUUGGCCCUGUCUGGGACUGCUGAUCCUAGAGUUCUCACAGCUCAUGGCUGAGGGUCCCCAAGCUUGUGUUCACCUUCUGGCUUUCUAGCCCCUUAAUCUUUUGCAAAUACUUGUAGGUCUAACUUGACCCCUUUGCAAGAGCUCGUUUCGUUCUUCACGUUUGAAAGAACAUGAAAGAGAGAAGGGACGGUGAGCUAUUUGUGGAACCGCAGCCCUAGAAAGCUCCUUAUCCGCUCCUUCUCCAGGCAAGACAACCAAUUGCAAGCCUCUGACCUCCUCCCUCUCCAGCCCCCAGUGGCCUCCGAGAGCCCCGUGAGCUGUGGAAACAAGGACUCCCAGAGGCCCAUCUCUGCAGGCACCUUCGUCACUGAGAGCCUCCACCUGGGCCAGUGGUGGGGGUGGGGAGAAUCAAGGAGCAGGAAGAGAAGUGAAGGGGCACUGCCAAGGAGCCCUCUGCUCUCUUCUUCAUCCUAGACCUGGGUAGUGCUGGCUUCCCCGCAGCCUUGCCUGGUGCGGCCCUGCAGCCAUCCACACCCUUUCUGAAGGACACAUCGGCCCAGAAAGAGAAGGAAGCGAGACAGGAAGUGACCUCAAUUGCCCUAGCCACAGAAAGGGCGGCUCCCCUGCCUCUGCAGCUGGAUGGAGUCUUGUUCUGUCACCCAGGCUGGAAUGCAGUGGCGCCGUCUCAGCUCACUGAAACCUCCGCCUCCCCAGUUCAAGUGAUUCUCCUGUCUCAGCCUCCU
Molecule: long non-coding RNA, 1059 nt
Filed under: Callithrix jacchus (white-tufted-ear marmoset)
Lineage: Eukaryota; Metazoa; Chordata; Mammalia; Primates; Cebidae
Description: lncRNA (ENSCJAG00000071409.1)
Source: RNAcentral